GAUGAACGCUGGCGGCGUGCCUAAUACAUGCAAGUCGAGCGAACGGACGAGAAGCUUGCUUCUCUGAUGUUAGCGGCGGACGGGUGAGUAACACGUGGAUAACCUACCUAUAAGACUGGGAUAACUUCGGGAAACCGGAGCUAAUACCGGAUAAUAUUUUGAACCGCAUGGUUCAAAAGUGAAAGACGGUCUUGCUGUCACUUAUAGAUGGAUCCGCGCUGCAUUAGCUAGUUGGUAAGGUAACGGCUUACCAAGGCAACGAUGCAUAGCCGACCUGAGAGGGGUAACCGGCCAAACGGAAACGAGAAAAGGGUCCAAAUCCCAAGGGAGGCAAGAAGAGGGAAACCUUCGGAAAGGGGGGAAGGCCGAACGGAGAAAGGCGCGGGAGGGAUGGAGGUGUUCGGAAUGGUAAAACUUUUUAAUAGGGAAAAAAAAAAGGGGAAGGAAAUGGUGAAAACCUGACGGGAACUAAUCAGAAAGCCACGGCUAACUACGUG
This 497-nucleotide ribosomal RNA is filed under the name uncultured bacterium. RNAcentral's name for it is "partial 16S ribosomal RNA". It matches the Rfam family "Bacterial small subunit ribosomal RNA", at positions 28 to 507 of the family's 1533-position model. The record is from RNAcentral.